UGUGGCUCAGUGGUUAAGCACCUCUGGGUUCAAUCCCUGGUACAAAAAGAAAGAAAAGGGCUGGGGAUAUAGCUAAGUGGUAAAGAGCCCCAGAGUUCAAUCCCCAGCACCAAAAAAGAAAAAAAAAUGAUAGGAUGUGACUAAUUUAGUUGAGGGACAGAAGCUGCCAAUGGAGAAGGGACAGUGAGCAAGCCAGUCGCAGCCAUCAGAAGAUUUGCAGAGAAGCUAAUGAUGGGGCUAGGCUGCAGCACAGUUCUGCCAGUGUGGACCCAAGGAGACGAGUAGGGGGGAUUCGGGUUGGUGGCUGGAGGAGAAUCCAUAGUUGAGGAGCCCAGAGAACCAGGAAAAGGAGAACGUGUGGGAACUGCUCAGGGGAAGAUGGUCCAGAUAAACUUGGGAGAUGGGGACUCUGACCCACAGCUGGGCUUCUCCACCCCUUGACACAGAGUGCCAAGAUCAGCCUGCCCCAUCUGAAGCAGCUCUGACCUGAUGGACAAGUCUUGGUCACAGAAGUCCUGCAUGUCACCCCCAGAGCUCGUGUGUGAAGCUCAGGGUUCCAGAAAGCCAGGCGUCAGGGCUGCCUGGGGGAGCCCCAUGCUUCAAAGUGGCUUCACUGAAAUUGACUCAGUCCCCUUCAAGACCUGGGUGUGGCCUGGGCCAGCGGGACUGCCCAGGCAGAGCCUUUAUCCCCUUCAGGUGCUCUCCAGCCAGGGACCCUCCCCCACCCGCACAUGGCCUUGAUCUGGUGUCCUAGAGGCUGGAACUCAUGCCCAAGGGGACACCACAGCUCCAGGAGGGUAGCUUGGCCAGCUGGUCACUCAGUCCAGCAGAAGAUUCUUAGAAGAAAUUGUGAGAUCAGCCACUGAGUGAUGGUUGGUGUGCCAUUAUACAGGCAGCGGUCAAAGUUGCCAGGGGACUUGGGGUGCUGCGAAAGUGGAAAGGAACAGACGGUGGAGAUUGGCAGGUGGAAGAGGAGCCCAGAAGAAGGUGGAGUCAAGGCAUAGGGCCCAGGCUGCUGAGAACAGCUGUGAGAGAAGAAAGCCUUUGAGGUUUUUGUUGCUUUUCUUUAUAGAUAUGUAUACAUGACAGCAGGAUAUAUUGU
This 1102-nucleotide long non-coding RNA is filed under the name Marmota monax (woodchuck). Lineage: Eukaryota; Metazoa; Chordata; Mammalia; Rodentia; Sciuridae. The record is from RNAcentral.